Molecule: ribosomal RNA, 468 nt
Filed under: uncultured bacterium
Lineage: Bacteria
Description: partial 16S ribosomal RNA
Rfam family: Bacterial small subunit ribosomal RNA
Source: RNAcentral
GACGAACGCUGGCGGCGUGCUUAACACAUGCAAGUCGAACGGAAAGGCCCUGCUAUCGUGCGGUGCUCGAGUGGCGAACGGGUGAGUAACACGUGAGUAACCUGCCCUAGACUUUGGGAUAACUUCAGGAAACUGGGCCUAAUCCCGGACAGGAGCUCCUGCUGCAUGGUGGGGGUUGGAAAGUUUCGGCGGUUGGGGAUGGACUCGCGGCUUAUCAGUUUGUUGGUGGGGUAGUGGCUUACCAAGGCUUUGACGGGUCGCCGGCCUGGGAGGGUGACCGGCGACAUUGGGACUGAGAGACGGCGCAGACUGGUACGGGAGGCAGCAGUGGGGAGUAUUGCACAGUGGGCGGAAGCGUGAUGCAGAAACGCCGGGUGCGGGAUGACGGCCUGCGGGGUGAGAACAGCUUUCGCCUGUGACGAAGCGUGAGUGACGGUAAUGAGUAAAGAAGCACCGGCUAACUACGUG